UUUUAGGGCUGUGCCUUCCUUUUUCUCUGUUCAGAACAAGGAGCCAAGCAUCUGGCAAAUUUAUCCAUAGCUGGAGGUAAGACUUUUAGAAAGUUUCACUAUAAAUGCUUUCAUUUGAAAAUUACAUGAUAACUCAUAUGUAUACACACUAAAACUCUUUGGCCUUUUGGCCCCAGUAGUUUUAAUUCUCUUGCAAAAUCUGCAUGUUUCUGGGUUUAAAAAAAAGAUGUCUAUGGACUCCCACAGUAUUCAUAAUGUGGGGGAAAACUUGCUUUUUAUUUGAACAUCAUAAAAAUGCUUAUAUUUGUUCCUGCUGUUUACUAUUUUUAUAGCUAAUGUUUUGGUACCAGCAUAUUCUCAAACUGGAAGAUCCUGGAGAGCAGUAUUUAGUCCUAUUGGGCUAAUUUGUGAUUUUUCUACUUAGAAGGGCCUUGAACAUAAACUUUUAAUAAUGAGAGUGUUUCUUAUAAGGUUUUGGUAAGAUCCAGGAACUCAUAUUAUCCUGAGAAUCAAGAGGGUGUUUCUGGAGUUGCUUCUUCAUUAUUAAUGGACAACCGUGAGGAAGUAUUUAAAACAUUCAUGUCAUCAAGUUUCUUUAAAAUUUAUUGAGGAAAUCGAUUCCAACUCCCACCAGAAGAGAUUACUGCUUCUGUCUCUGUAG
RNAcentral lists this long non-coding RNA (661 nucleotides) under Bos taurus (domestic cattle). RNAcentral describes it as "long non-coding RNA NONBTAT025889". Lineage: Eukaryota; Metazoa; Chordata; Mammalia; Artiodactyla; Bovidae. The record is from RNAcentral.